Molecule: ribosomal RNA, 432 nt
Filed under: uncultured bacterium
Lineage: Bacteria
Description: partial 16S ribosomal RNA
Rfam family: Bacterial small subunit ribosomal RNA
Source: RNAcentral
ACGAACGCUGGCGGCAGGCCUAACACAUGCAAGUCGCGCGGACCCUUCGGGGUUAGCGGCGGACGGGUGAGUAACGCGUGGGAAUAUGCCCUUCUCUACGGAAUAGUCCUGGGAAACUGGGGGUAAUACCGUAUACGCCCUUUGGGGGAAAGAUUUAUCGGGGAAGGAUUAGCCCGCGUUGGAUUAGGUAGUUGGUGGGGUAAUGGCCUACCAAGCCGACGAUCCAUAGCUGGUUUGAGAGGAUGAUCAGCCACACUGGGACUGAGACACGGCCCAGACUCCUACGGGAGGCAGCAGUGGGGAAUCUUAGACAAUGGGGGCAACCCUGAUCUAGCCAUGCCGCGUGAGUGAUGAAGGCCUUAGGGCUGUAAAGCUCUUUCAGCUGGGAAGAUAAUGACGGUACCAGCAGAAGAAGCCCCGGCUAACUCCGUG